This 399-nucleotide ribosomal RNA is filed under the name uncultured bacterium. RNAcentral's name for it is "partial 16S ribosomal RNA". It matches the Rfam family "Bacterial small subunit ribosomal RNA", at positions 338 to 734 of the family's 1533-position model. The record is from RNAcentral.
CCUACGGGUGGCAGCAGUGAGGAAUAUUGGUCAAUGGACGCAAGUCUGAACCAGCCAUGCCGCGUGCAGGAAGACGGUACUGUGAAUUGUAAACCUCUUUUGUACGAGGGCAAACACAGAUACGCGUACCUGGCUGAAAGUAUCUGACGAAUAAGGAUCGGCUAACUCCGUGCCAGCAGCCGCGGUAAUACGGAGGAUUCAAGCGUUAUCCGGAUUUAUUGGGUUUAAAGGGUGCGUAGGCGGUCGGAUAAGUUAGCGGUGAAAUCCCGAGGCUCAACUUCGGAAUUGCCUUUGAUACUGUUCGGCUAGAGAGUAGUUGAGGUAGGCGGAAUGUAUGGUGUAGCGGUGAAAUGCUUAGAGAUCGUACAGAACACCGAUUGCGAAGGCAGCUUACCAGGC